AGAGCGUACGGUGGAUGCCUUGGCACCAGGAGCCGAUGAAGGACGUAGUAGGCUGCGAUAAGCCUCGGGGAGCUGUCAAACGAGCUGAGAUCCGAGGGUCUCCGAAUGGGGAAACCCAGCCACAGUGAUGUGUGGUUACCCGCGCCUGAAUAUAUAGGGCGUGUGGAGGGAACGUGGGGAAGUGAAACAUCUCAGUACCCACAGGAAGAGAAAACAAUAGUGAUUCCGUGAGUAGUGGCGAGCGAAAGCGGAAGAGGCUAAACCAUGUACAUGUGAUAGCCGGCAGGCGUUGUGUGCGUGGGGUUGUGGGGCCUUUCUUCUCAUCACUGCCGUGGUGGGCGAGAGUAAGAAACCGGGUUGUUAGUCGAAGUGGUCUGGAACGGCCUGUCGUAGAGGGUGAGAAUCCCGUAGACGAAAACUUCCCGGCUCUCGUGAAGGGUUCCCAAGUAGCAGCGGGCCCGUGAAAUCUGCUGUGAAUCUGUCGGGACCACCCGAUAAGCCUGAAUACUCCCUGGUGACCGAUAGCGGACUAGUACCGUGAGGGAAAGGUGAAAAGUACCCCGGGAGGGGAGUGAAAUAGUACCUGAAACCGUGCGCUUACAAUCCGUCAAAGCCUGUGAGUGACUUGUCACUGCGGGUGAUGGCGUGCCUUUUGAAGAAUGAGCCUGCGAGUUAGUGGCAUGUGGCGAGGUUAACCCGUGUGGGGUAGCCGUAGCGAAAGCGAGUCCGAAUAGGGCGUUCCAGUCGCAUGCUCUAGACCCGAAGCGGAGUGAUCUACCCAUGGCCAGGGUGAAGCGACGGUAAGACGUCGUGGAGGCCCGAACCCACUUAGGUUGAAAACUGAGGGGAUGAGCUGUGGGUAGGGGUGAAAGGCCAAUCAAACUCCGUGAUAGCUGGUUCUCCCCGAAAUGCAUUUAGGUGCAGCGUCGCGUGUUUCUCACCGGAGGUAGAGCUACUGGAUGGUCUAGGGGGCCCACAAGCUUACCGAAAUCAGCCAAACUCCGAAUGCCGGUGAGUGAGAGCGCGGCAGUGAGACUGCGGGCGAUAAGGUUCGUAGUCGAGAGGGAAACAGCCCAGAUCGCCAGCUAAGGUCCCUAAGCGUGUACUAAGUGGAAAAGGAUGUGGGGUCGCGAAGACAACCAGGAGGUUGGCUUAGAAGCAGCCACCCUUGAAAGAGUGCGUAAUAGCUCACUGGUCAAGUGAUCCUGCGCCGACAAUGUAGCGGGGCUCAAGUACACCACCGAAGCUGCGGCAUUCAUGCAAGCCCGCUCCUUCCUUACGGGGUUGGAGCCAGGUGUAUGGAUGGGUAGGGGAGCGUCGUGCAGCCAUGGAAGCGUCGGAGUGAUCCAGGCGUGGAGGCUGCACGAGUGAGAAUGCAGGCAUGAGUAGCGAAAGAAGAGUGAGAAACUCUUCCGCCGAAUGACCAAGGGUUCCUGGGCCAGGUUAAUCCGCCCAGGGUGAGUCGGGACCUAAGGCGAGGCCGACAGGCGUAGUCGAUGGACAACGGGUUGAUAUUCCCGUACCCGUGUAAACGCGCCCAUGGUGAAUCAGUGAUACUAACCGCCCUGAAGCCGGCCAUUGUUCCUUCGGGAAUGUGGUCGGGGGAUGCGCGGGACCUGAUCUGGUAGUAGCCAAGCGAUGGGGUGACGCAGGAAGGUAGCUGAGCCAGUCAGUGGUAAUACUGGUGUAAGCGUGUAGGGCGAGUGGUAGGCAAAUCCGCCACUCACAUAGCCUGAGACGUGAUGCAUAGCCGAUUGAGGCGAAUUCAGUGAUCCUAUGCUGCCGAGAAAAGCCUCUAGCGAGCUUUUACACGGCCCGUACCCCAAACCGACACAGGUGGUCAGGUAGAGAAUACUAAGGCGAUCGAGAUAACUAUGGUUAAGGAACUCGGCAAAAUGCCCCCGUAACUUCGGGAGAAGGGGGGCCUCGUCUGGUGAUCCAACUUGCUUGGUGAGCUGGGUGGGGCCGCAGAGACCAGUGAGAAGCGACUGUUUACUAAAAACACAGGUCCGUGCGAAGUCGUAAGACGAUGUAUACGGACUGACGCCUGCCCGGUGCUGGAAGGUUAAGAGGACCGGUUAGCUUUUCGGAGCGAAGCUGAGAAUUUAAGCCCCAGUAAACGGCGGUGGUAACUAUAACCAUCCUAAGGUAGCGAAAUUCCUUGUCGGGUAAGUUCCGACCUGCACGAAUGGCGUAACGACUUCUCAGCUGUCUCAACCAUAGACUCGGCGAAAUUGCAUUACGAGUAAAGAUGCUCGUUACGCGCGGCAGGACGAAAAGACCCCGGGACCUUCACUAUAGCUUGGUAUUGGUGUUCGGUUCGGUUUGUGUAGGAUAGGUGGGAGACUGUGAAGCGGGCACGCCAGUGUUCGUGGAGUCAUUGUUGAAAUACCACUCUGAUCGUAUUGGACAUCUAACCUCGGACCAUGAUCUGGUUCAGGGACAGUGCCUGGUGGGUAGUUUAACUGGGGCGGUUGCCUCCCAAAAUGUAACGGAGGCGCCCAAAGGUUCCCUCAGCCUGGUUGGCAAUCAGGUGUUGAGUGCAAGUGCACAAGGGAGCUUGACUGUGAGACUGACAGGUCGAGCAGGGACGAAAGUCGGGACUAGUGAUCCGGCACCGGCAAGUGGAAGCGGUGUCGCUCAACGGAUAAAAGGUACCCCGGGGAUAACAGGCUGAUCUUCCCCAAGAGUCCAUAUCGACGGGAUGGUUUGGCACCUCGAUGUCGGCUCGUCGCAUCCUGGGGCUGGAGUAGGUCCCAAGGGUUGGGCUGUUCGCCCAUUAAAGCGGCACGCGAGCUGGGUUUAGAACGUCGUGAGACAGUUCGGUCUCUAUCCGCCGCGCGCGUUAGAAACUUGAGGAAGGCUGUCCCUAGUACGAGAGGACCGGGACGGACGAACCUCUGGUGUGCCAGUUGUUCCGCCAGGAGCACCGCUGGUUAGCUACGUUCGGAAGGGAUAACCGCUGAAAGCAUCUAAGCGGGAAGCCUGUUCCAAGAUGAGGUUUCU
RNAcentral lists this ribosomal RNA (3006 nucleotides) under Rhodococcus maanshanensis NBRC 100610. RNAcentral's name for it is "bacterial LSU rRNA". It matches the Rfam family "Bacterial large subunit ribosomal RNA". Lineage: Bacteria; Bacillati; Actinomycetota; Actinomycetes; Mycobacteriales; Nocardiaceae. The record is from RNAcentral.